This 1483-nucleotide ribosomal RNA is filed under the name uncultured prokaryote. Its description in RNAcentral is "partial 16S ribosomal RNA". It matches the Rfam family "Bacterial small subunit ribosomal RNA". The record is from RNAcentral.
GCUUGCGGCGUGGAUAAGACAUGCAAGUCGAACGCAAAUCAUACUGUAGCAAUACAGUGUGGUUUUAGUGGCGAAAGGGUGCGUAACACGUGGGUAAUUUGCCUUGAAGUUGGGGAUAACUUGCCGAAAGGUGAGCUAAUACCGAAUGUGGUCUCUCGGCGGCAUCACCGAGAGUCUAAAGCUGGGGAUCUUCGGACCUGGCGCUUCAAGAUAAGCCCGCGGCCUAUCAGCUUGUUGGUAAGGUAAAAGCUUACCAAGGCAACGACGGGUAGCUGGUCUGAGAGGACGAUCAGCCACACUGGAACUGAGACACGGUCCAGACACCUACGGGUGGCAGCAGUCGAGAAUCUUUCACAAUGGGCGAAAGCCUGAUGGAGCGACGCCGCGUGGGGGAUGAAGGUCUUCGGAUCGUAAACCCCUGUCAUCUGUGAGCAAUGCCUCCCGGUCAAUAUCCGGAAGGUUGAUAGUAGCAGAAGAGGAAGGGACGGCUAACUCUGUGCCAGCAGCCGCGGUAAUACAGAGGUCCCAAGCGUUGUUCGGAUUCACUGGGCGUAAAGGGUGCGUAGGCGGCAUGGCAAGUUUGAUGUGAAAGCUCCGAGCUCAACUCGGAAAUUGCAUUGAAAACUGCCCUGCUAGAGGGGUGGAGGGGGGGCUGGAAUUCUCGGUGUAGCAGUGAAAUGCGUAGAUAUCGAGAGGAACACCAGUGGCGAAGGCGAGUCCCUGGACAACUCCUGACACUGAGGCACGAAAGCUAGGGGAGCAAACAGGAUUAGAUACCCUGGUAGUCCUAGCCGUAAACGGUGCACAUUUGCUGUGAGAGGAUUCGACCCCUUUCGUGGCGUAGCAAACGCGUUAAAUGUGCCGCCUGGGGAGUACGGUCGCAAGGUUAAAACUCAAAGAAAUUGACGGGGGCCUGCACAAGCGGUGGAGUAUGUGGCUUAAUUCGAUGCAACGCGAAGAACCUUACCUGGCCUUGACAUGCAUCUCUAAGCGUGUGAAAGCACGCGAGCUCUUCUGGGAGUAAUUUGCACAGGUGCUGCAUGGCUGUCGUCAGCUCGUGUCGUGAGAUGUUGGGUUAAGUCCCGCAACGAGCGCAACCCUUGUGUCCUGUUGCCACUCGAACUUCGGUUCGGAGCACUCUGGACAGACUGCCUGGUUCCAACCAGGAGGAAGGUGGGGAUGACGUCAAGUCAGUAUGGCCCUUACGGCCAGGGCUGCACACGUACUACAAUGCCCGGCACAGAGGGAAGCAAGACCGCAAGGUGGAGCAAAUCCCUAAAAACCGGGCUCAGUUCGGAUUGUCGUCUGCAACUCGACGGCAUGAAGCUGGAAUCGCUAGUAAUGGCGCAUCAGCUACGGCGCCGUGAAUACGUUCCCAGGCCUUGUACACACCGCCCGUCACAUCAUGAAAGCCGAUCAUACCCGAAGUCGCCGAGCUAACCCUCGGGAGGCAGGCGCCGAAGGUAAGAUUGGUGAUUGGGAU